AGAGUUUGAUCAUGGCUCAGGAUGAACGCUGGCGGCGUGCCUAAGGCAUGCAAGUCGAAGGAGUCGACUUGUCGACUCCUGGCAAACGGGUGAGUAACACGUGUGAAUCUACCUUUCAGUCAGGAACAACCCCGAGAAAUCGGGGAUAAUUCUGGAUAGUCCCCGAAUUUCGGGGUAAAAGGCGUAACUGCCUGCUGGGAGAGGAGCGCGCGUCCCAUUAGCUUGUUGGUAGGGUAAUGGCCUACCAAGGCAACGAUGGGUAGCCGAUCUGAGAGGAUGAUCGGCCACAAUGGCACUGCGACACGGGCCAUACUCCUACGGGAGGCAGCAGCUAGGAAUAUUGCGCAAUGGACGAAAGUCUGACGCAGCGACGCCGCGUGCGGGAUGACAGCCUUCGGGUUGUAAACCGCUCAGCCCCGAGAAAUCGGGGUGAAAAGCACCUACUAACUAUGUGCCAGCAGUCGCGGUAAUACAUAGGGUGCAAGCGUUAUCCGGAUUUAUUGGGCGUAAGGGUCCGUAGGCGGUCUUUUAAGUCUUGCUUCAAAGCUCCCGGCUCAACUGGGAAAAGGGGCAGGAGACUAGGAGACUAGAACGAGGCCGAGGCUAAUGGAACUUGCUGUGUAGGGGUAAAAUCCGUGGAUACGGCAAGGAACGCCAAUGGCGAAAGCAAUUAGCCAGGACUAUGUUGACGCUGAUGGACGAAAGCUAGGGGAGCGAACCGGAUUAGAGACCCGGGUAGUCCUAGCCCUAAACAAUGUCCGCUAGCUUCCCCGAUAUUUCGGGGGGGCGCAAGUUAACACGUUAAGCGGAUCGCCUGGGGAGUACGACCGCAAGGUUGAAACUCAAACGAAUUGGCGGGGAGGCGCACAACCAGUGGAGCAUGUGGUUCAAUUCGAAACGAAGCGAUGAACCUUACCUGGACUUGACAUCAUAUUUCUGUUCUGCCAGAGAUGGCGGAUCUAAACGAUAUGACAGCUGUUGCAUGGCUAUCGUCAGCUCGUGACGUGAGUCGUUCGCUUCAGUGCGGUAACGAGCGCAACCCCUGUCCUGUGUUACUUGUGUCACAGGAGACAGGGUCGAUUUUUUUCGACCAGGAAGGAGGGGACGAUGUUAAGUCAGCAUGACGCUUAUGUCCAGGGCUACACACAUCCUACAAUGACCGAUACAAUGGGUUGCUAAGUCGCAAGGCGGAGCUAAUCCCAUCAAAAUCGGUCUCAGUUGGGAUUGGGGGCUGCAACUCGCCCCCAUGAACUUGGAAUUGGUAGUAAUCGGAGAUCAGCAGGCUCCGGUGAAUGCGUUCUCGCCUCUUGCACACACUGCCCGUCACUUCAGCAAAGUCGGCAGUACCCGAAGAGUCGAAAUUUCGACUUUAAGGUAAGGUCGGUGAUGAGGGAGAAGUCGUAACAAGGUAGCCG
RNAcentral lists this ribosomal RNA (1415 nucleotides) under uncultured Microgenomates group bacterium. RNAcentral describes it as "SSU rRNA". It matches the Rfam family "Bacterial small subunit ribosomal RNA". The record is from RNAcentral.